AAGUAUUUUAGUUUGUUAGAUAUUCAGUAACAAAAUUUCCGCAAAUGCAUUAAUUUUCAACCGCUAAAUUAAUCGUUCAAAUUGUUUAAUAACGCUUGAGACGGCAACCGCCUACUUCCGCAAAUUCAUAUAGUCAUAAUCGGAUUUUAGCGUUUAAACCACGAGUCUGGCCUUAGAUCAAAGAAAACCCUACUUAUAGUCAACCCUAAUCCAUGAUACCAAAUGGAGAAAAAAAAAGAAAGAAAAAAUGGAAAUUUCCCAAAUUAACACACCCAUAACUCAAACUUGUCUCAAACCUCAGAUUAUAU
This 308-nucleotide small RNA is filed under the name Arabidopsis thaliana (thale cress). RNAcentral's name for it is "ATSL253330". The record is from RNAcentral. Lineage: Eukaryota; Viridiplantae; Streptophyta; Magnoliopsida; Brassicales; Brassicaceae.